RNAcentral lists this ribosomal RNA (246 nucleotides) under uncultured Actinomycetales bacterium. Its description in RNAcentral is "partial 16S ribosomal RNA". It matches the Rfam family "Bacterial small subunit ribosomal RNA", at positions 86 to 334 of the family's 1533-position model. Lineage: Bacteria; Bacillati; Actinomycetota; Actinomycetes; Actinomycetales. The record is from RNAcentral.
AGUACCCGAGUGGCGAACGGGUGAGUAACACGUGGGUAAUCUGCCCUGCACUCUGGGAUAAGCCUGGGAAACUGGGUCUAAUACUGGAUAUGACCUUUCUCCUUAUGGGGUUUGGUGGAAAGUUUUUCGGUGUAGGAUGAGCCCGCGGCCUAUCAGCUUGUUGGUGGGGUGAUGGCCUACCAAGGCGACGACGGGUAGCCGGCCUGAGAGGGUGAUCGGCCACAUUGGGACUGAGAUACGGCCCAG